RNAcentral lists this ribosomal RNA (253 nucleotides) under uncultured bacterium. RNAcentral's name for it is "partial 16S ribosomal RNA". It matches the Rfam family "Bacterial small subunit ribosomal RNA", at positions 524 to 776 of the family's 1533-position model. The record is from RNAcentral.
AACGGAGGGUGCAAGCGUUGUUCGGAAUUACUGGGCGUAAAGCGCGUGCAGGUGGUCUAUUAAGUUUCAUGUGAAAUCCCUUGGCUCAACCAAGGAACUGCAUGAAAUACUGAUGAACUUGAAUUCGGGAGAAGAGGGCGGAAUUCCCAGUGUAGAGGUGAAAUUCGUAGAUAUUGGGAGGAACACCUGAGGCGAAAGCGGCUCUCUAGACCGACAUUGACGCUCAUACGCGACAGCAUGGGGAUCAAACAGG